RNAcentral lists this ribosomal RNA (440 nucleotides) under uncultured bacterium. RNAcentral describes it as "partial 16S ribosomal RNA". It matches the Rfam family "Bacterial small subunit ribosomal RNA", at positions 338 to 795 of the family's 1533-position model. The record is from RNAcentral.
CCUACGGGAGGCAGCAGUGGGGGAUAUUGCACAAUGGGGGAAACCCUGAUGCAGCGACGCCGCGUGUGGGAAGACGGUCCUCUGGAUUGUAAACCACUGUCCCCAGGGACGAAGAUGACGGUACCUGGGGAGGAAGCUCCGGCUAACUACGUGCCAGCAGUCGCGGUAAUACGUAGGGAGCAAGCGUUGUCCGGAAUUACUGGGUGUAAAGGGAGCGUAGGCGGGAUGGCAAGUUGGGUGUUAAAUCUACCGGCUCAACUGGUAGUCGCACGCAAAACUGCUAGUCUUGAGUGAAGUAGAGGCAGGCGUAAUUCCGAGGGUAGCGGUGAAAUGCGUAGAUAUUAGGAGGAACACCAGUGGCGAAGGCGGCCUGCUGGGCUUUUACUGACGCUGAGGCUCGAAAGUGUGGGGAGAAAACAGGAUUAGAGACACUUGUAGUC